RNAcentral lists this ribosomal RNA (497 nucleotides) under uncultured bacterium. RNAcentral describes it as "bacterial SSU rRNA". It matches the Rfam family "Bacterial small subunit ribosomal RNA", at positions 28 to 514 of the family's 1533-position model. The record is from RNAcentral.
GAUGAACGCUAGCGGGAGGCCUAACACAUGCAAGCCGAGCGGUAUUGUUUCUUCGGAAAUGAGAGAGCGGCGUACGGGUGCGGAACACGUGUGCAACCUGCCUUUAUCUGGGGGAUAGCCUUUCGAAAGGAAGAUUAAUACUCCAUAAUAUAUUGAUUGGCAUCAAUUAAUAUUGAAAGCUCCGGCGGAUAGAGAUGGGCACGCGCAAGAUUAGCUAGUUGGUGAGGUAACGGCUCACCAAGGCGAUGAUCUUUAGGGGGCCUGAGAGGGUGAUCCCCCACACUGGUACUGAGACACGGACCAGACUCCUACGGGAGGCAGCAGUGGGGAAUUUUGGACAAUGGGGGAAACCCUGAUCCAGCAAUGCCGCGUGAGUGAAGAAGGCCUUCGGUUGUAAAGCUCUUUUGUUCAGGGAAGAAACAACCGGCUCUUAACACAAGUCCGGGAAAGUGACGGUACCUGAAGGAAUAAGCAACCGGCUAACUCCGUGCCAGCAG